This is an RNA transcript of Propithecus coquereli (Coquerel's sifaka), 610 nucleotides long. RefSeq lists it as uncharacterized. The record is from RefSeq and is a predicted model, not a curated record. The transcript has a single exon. Lineage: Eukaryota; Metazoa; Chordata; Mammalia; Primates; Indriidae.
AUGCGAGGGUCUGCGCCGCCGAGGACCCCUGAGCUGCGCUGCUCGCGGCCGCCGCCACCGCCGCGCCCGGGCCGCCCCUGGCUCCCCUCCUUUCUCGAGAAGGGCAGGGCUUUUCAGAGGCUUGGCGGGAAAAAGAGCGGAGGGAGGGAGUAUGAAAGCCGGAGGGAGCAGUAUAAAAGCCGGUUCUUGGUGCUUUAUCUGACUCGCUGUAGUAAUUCCAGCGAGAGGCAGAGGGAGCGAGCGGGCGGGCCAGCGAGGGUAGAAGAGCCGAGCGAGCCGAGCCGCGCUCCGGGCGAGCCGGGAAGGGAGAUCCGGAGUGAAAGAGGGGCUUCGCCUCCGGCCCAGCAGCCCCCACCCCAGCCCUCCCGCUGACUCCCCGCCCGCGGUCCGCAACCCUCGCCGCAUCCACGAAACUUUGCCCAUAGCAGCGGGUGGGCACUUUGCACUGGAACUUACAACACCCAAGCAAGGACGCGACUCUGCGGACGCGGGGAGGCUAUUUCACCCAUUUGGGGAUACUUUUCCCCGACGCUGCCCAGGACUCGCUCCUCUGAAAGGCGCUCCUUCCGCUGUUUGGACGCUGGAUUUCCUUCGGGUAGUGGAAAACCCG